Molecule: long non-coding RNA, 400 nt
Filed under: Pavo cristatus (Indian peafowl)
Lineage: Eukaryota; Metazoa; Chordata; Aves; Galliformes; Phasianidae
Description: lncRNA (ENSPSTG00000009419.1)
Source: RNAcentral
AUGAGCCUUGACAAAACUGUGGACAGCAUACUGCUAAGCCUCACAUUGUUCAGCCUUCUGAUUUUCCUUGGAAGUUUGCUGAUAUGUGCGUGUAGAAGGUAUAGAUUCCUGGAAGUUAUAACCAUGCCCUUUCCAGCUCCUACAGAUAAAGUUACAACGUGGUUAGCUACAGAUGAGACUCACCAUCAGAAACAAAAUUCAGUGCAAAUGGAGAUGCAGUCAGAGGUCAUACUGAGAAUAUCAGAAGAUAAUGGAGAUGAGGACAUUCAACAACAUACACAUUUGAAAGAAUCUGAAGACCUGCACAGGGACAAUUUGACUUUGCUGAUCACCUGUUACUGCCACUACUAGAGCCAAAGUAGGCCACUGGACUACAUCAGCCUUUGGACUGAUUCGUUAC